UGGCGGCAAUAGCGCCGUGGAACCACCUGAUCCCAUGCCGAACUCAGAAGUGAAACGCGGUAGCGCCGAUGGUAGUGUGGCAUUCGCCAUGCGAGAGUAGGACACUGCCAGGCA
Molecule: ribosomal RNA, 114 nt
Filed under: Aeromonas jandaei
Lineage: Bacteria; Pseudomonadati; Pseudomonadota; Gammaproteobacteria; Aeromonadales; Aeromonadaceae
Source: RNAcentral